GCUGGCGGCGUGCCUAAUACAUGCAAGUCGAACGGUCUUUUCUAUGGAAGCUUGCUUCCACUGAGAAGAUAGUGGCGAACGGGUGAGUAACACGUGGGUAACCUGCCCAUAAGAGGGGGAUAACAUCCGGAAACGGGUGCUAAUACCGCAUAGUUUUCUUGAUCGCAUGAUCGGGAAAGGAAAGACGGCCUUUGUGCUGUCGCUUAUGGAUGGACCCGCGGCGUAUUAGUUAGUUGGUGAGGUAACGGCUCACCAAGACGAUGAUACGUAGCCGACCUGAGAGGGUGAUCGGCCACAUUGGGACUGAGACACGGCCCAAACUCCUACGGGAGGCAGCAGUAGGGAAUCUUCCGCAAUGGACGAAAGUCUGACGGAGCAACGCCGCGUGAGUGAAGAAGGUUUUUCCGGAUCGUAAAACUCUGUUGUCAGAGAAGAACAAGUUGGAGAGUAACUGCUCCAGCCUUGACGGUAUCUGACCAGAAAGCCACGGCUAACUACGUGCCAGCAGCAGC
Molecule: ribosomal RNA, 512 nt
Filed under: uncultured bacterium
Lineage: Bacteria
Description: bacterial SSU rRNA
Rfam family: Bacterial small subunit ribosomal RNA
Source: RNAcentral